GAUGAACGCUGGCGGCGUGCCUAAUACAUGCAAGUCGAGCGAACAGAUGAGGAGCUUGCUCCUCUGACGUUAGCGGCGGACGGGUGAGUAACACGUGUAUAACCUACCUAUAAGACUGGGAUAACUUCGGGAAACCGGAUCUAAUACCGGAUAAUAUAUUGAACCGCAUGGUUCAAUAGUGAAAGACGGUUUUGCUGUCACUUAUAGAUGGAUCCGCGCCGCAUUAGCUAGUUGGUAAGGUAACGGCUUACCAAGGCAACGAUGCGUAGCCGACCUGAGAGGGUGAUCGGCCACACUGGAACUGAGACACGGUCCAGACUCCUACGGGAGGCAGCAGUAGGGAAUCUUCCGCAAUGGGCGAAAGCCUGACGGAGCAACGCCGCGUGAGUGAUGAAGGUCUUCGGAUCGUAAAACUCUGUUAUUAGGGAAGAACAAAUGUGUAAGUAACUAUGCACGUCUUGACGGUACCUAAUCAGAAAGCCACGGCUAACUACGUG
Molecule: ribosomal RNA, 497 nt
Filed under: uncultured bacterium
Lineage: Bacteria
Description: partial 16S ribosomal RNA
Rfam family: Bacterial small subunit ribosomal RNA
Source: RNAcentral